This is a non-coding RNA of Podarcis lilfordi (Lilford's wall lizard), 74 nucleotides long. Lineage: Eukaryota; Metazoa; Chordata; Lepidosauria; Squamata; Lacertidae. The record is from the annotation of a GenBank genome assembly.
ACCUGGGGUAGCUCAGUGGAAAGAGCACGAGACUUUUAAACUCAGGGUCAUGGGUGCAAGCCCCACCUUGGGCA